UUCUUUACGUCGAGCGUUUAUUAGUUGCAAUUUGCUUGCGGUAAAAGUUGUUCGCCAACAAGUCGAACAAAUUAAAUAAUUUAACACAAGGAAAGUUGCGAAUAUGGGUAAAAAUAAAGGCGGCGGCGGUGGAGGCGGUGGAGGAGGAGGAGGAGGAGGAGGAGGCGGCGGCGGCGGCAAUGUAAGCAAUAUUUGUGUUAUGCAACUCGCGUUUUAAUUAAAAAAAGUGGUGGUGGUGGAGGCGGCGCAGCAGGUGGUGGUGGCAAAAACAAAGCAGCUGCUCCGGCCGCAGACAAAGCUGGCGCCAAGAAGGGGCCAGAGCCCAAGGCAGGCGGCGGCGGCAAGAAGGGCGGCAAAAAAUAGGACAUCACAUUGCCAGGAAAGCGCAUUAAAUUAAAUAUUAGAAUAAAUAUGUAUGCAACUAUAUUUUUUAAGUUUAAAACGAGAUAUUAAACGCGAGAGUUUUUAAUA
This is an RNA transcript of Drosophila virilis, 471 nucleotides long. RefSeq lists it as uncharacterized. NCBI's taxonomy places the organism in Eukaryota, Metazoa, Arthropoda, Insecta, Diptera, Drosophilidae. The record is from RefSeq and is a predicted model, not a curated record.